RNAcentral lists this ribosomal RNA (492 nucleotides) under uncultured bacterium. Its description in RNAcentral is "partial 16S ribosomal RNA". It matches the Rfam family "Bacterial small subunit ribosomal RNA", at positions 29 to 507 of the family's 1533-position model. The record is from RNAcentral.
AGUGAACGCUGGCGGUAGGCCUAACACAUGCAAGUCGAACGGCAGCACAGUAAGAGCUUGCUCUUACGGGUGGCGAGUGGAGGACGGGUGAGGAAUACAUCGGAAUCUACUUUUUCGUGGGGGAUAACGUAGGGAAACUUACGCUAAUACCGCAUACGACCUACGGGUGAAAGCAGGGGAUCUUCGGACCUUGCGCGAUUGAAUGAGCCGAUGUCGGAUUAGCUAGUUGGCGGGGUAAAGGCCCACCAAGGCGACGAUCCGUAGCUGGUCUGAGAGGAUGAUCAGCGACACUGGAGCUGAGACACGGUCCAGACUCCUACGGGAGGCAGCAGUGGGGAAUAUUGGACAAUGGGCGCAAGCCUGAUCCAGCCAUACCGCGUGGGUGAAGAAGGCCUUCGGGCUGUAAAGCCCUUUUGUUGGGAAAGAAAAGCAGCAGGUUAAUACCCCGCUGUUCUGACGGUACCCAAAGAAUAAGCACCGGCUAACUUCGUG